This is a long non-coding RNA of Oncorhynchus tshawytscha (Chinook salmon), 1113 nucleotides long. Lineage: Eukaryota; Metazoa; Chordata; Actinopteri; Salmoniformes; Salmonidae. The record is from Ensembl.
UGUACUUUCCAGGAACAGCAACAGAAACAGAUUGCAUGAACUCCUUCAGACAGAAGUGGGGAGCAUCUGUUUCCCAUGUUAUGGAAGGCUCAUGUUUCUCCUCCACUGUCUUCCUUGAACAUGCUCCAAUUAACAGAGGGAAAACAAAGGCCAAUAUUUACAUGGCCGUCCACUGCAGAGGCAUUUUAAAAGUCAAUAAUUUGCUGAGAAUGCUUGUUAUUAUGUGAAUAACAUGGGAAAUGAGUACGUUUUCAUGGUGGAAUUUUACAAUGUCAAGAUGACAGAUUGACUGACAGGUGAACUUUUUUUUGGCAUGGCUAGCUAGCUACAUAGCUGGCUAAUGGUUUUAUUUGAAGAAUGUAUCUGGACACAGUACCGGCUUUGUUUUGCUUCACCUGGCUGCCAAUUCCUAAUCUUCUGCUAACAUCAUUUGAGGAGUCGCCUGAAGCGUAAGAGGAAUGGGAGACGGAGGAAUACAGCAGUGCUGAGGCAGAGGGCUGGUAGUGGACGACUGGCUACUAUUCUGAACUUUGUGUGGUGAGCUUUCUGGCACCCAGAGCUACCGAGGCAUCACCCAAGUUGGUGUUACACAGAGUGGAAGAGGAGAAGUCCAGCGGCUAUAAGAGACAGGCUGGUUUCCUGACUUGCCCUCUACAAGAUCAUCAGCGGGCUCCAUCACCAUCAUCUGCCAUCCUCUGACCAGAUCCCUACACUUGAGCCAUGAACUGACCCUCUCAAUCUUCGGAGGAUGCAGCUUACAAAGACUUGGCCUCUAUUGAGUGACCUGUCAUGACAUAUUGCUUGUUUUUUUGCUCUUAAAGCGCUUUGAAAUUCUCAGAUAAGCGCUAUAGAAAUGUAAUACAUUAUUAUUAUUAUUAUUAUUAUCAUCAUCAUUAGUGUUGGUCCAAGACAGACAAGCAUGUCAUCACUAACCCACAUGACCUAUCUGGAGAGGAAUGUUUUGUGCUGAAAACAAAGGGCAAUAUAUACCUUACUGUUGCGUAAUUCUCCUGAGGCUCAUGUCAUCAAAUAGCUAAUAAGUAGCACAAAACCAGUGAUACUUAAAAUAUCUAUGGAUAAAAGAAGUUAACACCAUUGCUGCAUGAAAAACAG